This 449-nucleotide ribosomal RNA is filed under the name Acinetobacter baumannii OIFC143. Its description in RNAcentral is "bacterial SSU rRNA". It matches the Rfam family "Bacterial small subunit ribosomal RNA", at positions 30 to 475 of the family's 1533-position model. The record is from RNAcentral. Lineage: Bacteria; Pseudomonadati; Pseudomonadota; Gammaproteobacteria; Moraxellales; Moraxellaceae.
AUUGAACGCUGGCGGCAGGCUUAACACAUGCAAGUCGAGCGGGGGAAGGUAGCUUGCUACCGGACCUAGCGGCGGACGGGUGAGUAAUGCUUAGGAAUCUGCCUAUUAGUGGGGGACAACAUCUCGAAAGGGAUGCUAAUACCGCAUACGUCCUACGGGAGAAAGCAGGGGAUCUUCGGACCUUGCGCUAAUAGAUGAACCUAAGUCGGAUUAGCUAGUUGGUGGGGUAAAGGCCUACCAAGGCGACGAUCUGUAGCGGGUCUGAGAGGAUGAUCCGCCACACUGGGACUGAGACACGGCCCAGACUCCUACGGGAGGCAGCAGUGGGGAAUAUUGGACAAUGGGGGGAACCCUGAUCCAGCCAUGCCGCGUGUGUGAAGAAGGCCUUAUGGUUGUAAAGCACUUUAAGCGAGGAGGAGGCUACUUUAGUUAAUACCUAGAGAUAGUGG